GUGGAGGUAGCUCAAUGGUAGAGUGCUUGCCUAGGAAGCAUGAGGCCCUGGGUUCAAUCGCCAGUCCCACA
This 71-nucleotide transfer RNA is filed under the name Heterocephalus glaber (naked mole-rat). It matches the Rfam family "tRNA". Rfam says of the family: Transfer RNA (tRNA) molecules are approximately 80 nucleotides in length. Their secondary structure includes four short double-helical elements and three loops (D, anti-codon, and T loops). Further hydrogen bonds mediate the characteristic L-shaped molecular structure. tRNAs have two regions of fundamental functional importance: the anti-codon, which is responsible for specific mRNA codon recognition, and the 3' end, to which the tRNAs corresponding amino acid is attached (by aminoacyl-tRNA synthetases). tRNAs cope with the degeneracy of the genetic code in two manners: having more than one tRNA (with a specific anti-codon) for a particular amino acid; and 'wobble' base-pairing, i.e. permitting non-standard base-pairing at the 3rd anti-codon position. The record is from Rfam by way of RNAcentral. Lineage: Eukaryota; Metazoa; Chordata; Mammalia; Rodentia; Bathyergidae.